AGUGGCGAACGGGUUAGUAACGCGUGGGAACAUACACAGCACAGGGGGAUAACCAUUGGAAACGAUGGCUAAUACCGCAUACGCCCUAUUGGGGAAAGAUUUAUCGGUGUUGGAUUGGCCCGCGUUAGAUUAGCUAGUUGGUGAGGUAAUGGCUCACCAAGGCGACGAUUUAUAGCUGGUUUGAGAGGAUGAUCAGCAACACUGGAACUGAGACACGGUCCAGACUCCUACGGGAGGCAGCAGUCGGGAAUAUUGUGCAAUGGGGGCAACCCUGGCACAGCCAUGCCGCGUGAGUGAAGAAGGCCUUAGGGUUGUAAAGCUCUUUCAGAUGUGAGGAUGAUGACGAUAGCAUCAGAAGAAGCUCCGGCUAACUUCGUGCCAGCAGCCGCGGUAAUACGAAGGGAGCUAGCGU
Molecule: ribosomal RNA, 412 nt
Filed under: uncultured bacterium
Lineage: Bacteria
Description: bacterial SSU rRNA
Rfam family: Bacterial small subunit ribosomal RNA
Source: RNAcentral